Molecule: ribosomal RNA, 746 nt
Filed under: uncultured Oribacterium sp.
Lineage: Bacteria; Bacillati; Bacillota; Clostridia; Lachnospirales; Lachnospiraceae
Description: bacterial SSU rRNA
Rfam family: Bacterial small subunit ribosomal RNA
Source: RNAcentral
GAUGAACGCUGGCGGCGUGCCUAACACAUGCAAGUCGAACGGGAUGCGUAUCGGAAAGCUUCGGCCGGAAGAUACGUUAUCUAGUGGCGGACGGGUGAGUAACACGUGGGUAACCUGCCUUAUGGAGGGGGAUAACAGAGAGAAAUCACUGCUAAUACCGCAUAAGCACACAGUACCGCAUGGUACAGGGUGAAAAGAUUUAUCACCAUAAGAUGGACCCGCGUCUGAUUAGCCAGUUGGCAGGGUAAAAGCCUACCAAAGCAACGAUCAGUAGCCGAUCUGAGAGGAUGACCGGCCACAUUGGGACUGAGACACGGCCCAAACUCCUACGGGAGGCAGCAGUGGGGAAUAUUGCACAAUGGGGGAAACCCUGAUGCAGCGACGCCGCGUGAGUGAAGAAGUAUUUCGGUAUGUAAAGCUCUAUCAGCAGGGAAGAUAAUGACAGUACCUGACUAAGAAGCCCCGGCUAACUACGUGCCAGCAGCCGCGGUAAUACGUAGGGGGCAAGCGUUAUCCGGAUUUACUGGGUGUAAAGGGAGCGUAGACGGAGUGGCAGGUCUGAAGUGAAAACCCUGGGCUUAACCUGGGGACUGCUUUGGAAACUGUUAAUCUAGAGUGUUGGAGAGGUAAGUGGAAUUCCUGGUGUAGCGGUGAAAUGCGUAGAUAUCAGGAAGAACACCGGAGGCGAAGGCGGCUUACUGGACAAUAACUGACGUUGAGGCUCGAAAGCGUGGGGAUCAAACAGG